Molecule: ribosomal RNA, 440 nt
Filed under: uncultured bacterium
Lineage: Bacteria
Description: partial 16S ribosomal RNA
Rfam family: Bacterial small subunit ribosomal RNA
Source: RNAcentral
CCUACGGGAGGCAGCAGUGGGGGAUAUUGCACAAUGGGGGAAACCCUGAUGCAGCGACGCCGCGUGUGGGAAGACGGUCCUCUGGAUUGUAAACCACUGUCCCCAGGGACGAAGAUGACGGUACCUGGGGCGGAAGCUCCGGCUAACUACGUGCCAGCAGCCGCGGGAAUACGUAGGGAGCGAGCGUUGUCCGGAAUUACUGGGUGUAAUGGGAGCGUAGGCGGGGAUUCAAGUUGGGUGUCAAAACUACCGGCUAAACUGGUAGUCGCACUUAAAACUGCAGCUCUUGAGUGAAGUAGAGGCAGGCGGAAUUCCUGGUGUAGCGGUGAAAUGCGUAGAUAUUAGGAGGAACACCAGUGGCGAAGGCGACUAUCUGGCACAUAACUGACGCUGAGGAGCGAAAGCGUGGGUAGCAAACAGGAUUAGAUACCCUUGUAGUC